GAAGAAGAGACUUUCCCCGCAUCGGAUCAAUGUUUCCAUCACACGGAGAGAGUUACAGAGCCCCCUUGUAUCCACCCCAGGCUUCUGUCCCUGGUGGGGUGAAGACCAGAAGAGGGUGAUGUCCUUCCUGCCUCCAAGACCAGAAGAGGGUGAUGUCCUUCCUGCCUCCAAGGCCUGCCUCAAAGUGCUGAGCUGGUGAGUCCAGAGAGCUGGCGGUCAACUCUCAACAAGAAGCAGCAGCAGUGGAUUGACCGGACGCUGUUUACCAGGAGCCGCCUACAGAGCUCACAGUUCAUCACUGUCCUUGCCCUGGUGGGGUGAAGACCAGAAGAGGGUGAUGUCCUUCCUGCCUCCAAGACCAGAAGAGGGUGAUGUCCUUCCUGCCUCCAAGA
Coregonus clupeaformis (lake whitefish) is the source of this 392-nucleotide long non-coding RNA. RefSeq lists it as uncharacterized. NCBI's taxonomy places the organism in Eukaryota, Metazoa, Chordata, Actinopteri, Salmoniformes, Salmonidae. The record is from RefSeq and is a predicted model, not a curated record. The transcript has 3 exons.